This is a long non-coding RNA of Ficedula albicollis (Collared flycatcher), 2123 nucleotides long. NCBI's taxonomy places the organism in Eukaryota, Metazoa, Chordata, Aves, Passeriformes, Muscicapidae. The record is from Ensembl.
AUUUUGUCACAAGAAAAAGAGUGAGAGGCAGAAUAAAGUGGAAUUUUACAAUAAAAUCCAUAAAAUUAAGGAAAAGAACAUGAAGCUGGAUAUAAAGGANCUGGGGGAAAGCUGAAAGAAUUUUGUCACAAAAAAAAGAGUGAGAGGCAGAAUAGAGUGGAAUUUUACAAUAAAAUCCUUAAAAUUAAGGAAAAGAACAUAAAGCUGGAUAUAAAGGGAAUAAUAAUGUCUGAAUCCAAUGCAUGGACAGUAUUUGUAAAUAAAAUCAAAUUCCUUUCCAGGAGCAUCAGAAUUCCAACUUUUAUCCCAUUAUCUAUUGUUAGAAGAACUCCCAGGAAGGACAGCCUCAAAUGCAGAAAUUGGAGAUGUGAGCAGAAAUAUAAGAAUAAAUAACAAAUAUUGCUCCAGUUUUUGGCUCAUGGAGCCAAUCCCAGCCAUGGAAUUCUGUCUCCCAAGCCCUGACUGGAUUUUGGAGCAAUGUUAUUUUAUUUUCAGCUGCUUUGGGAAUUUUUUCCACUGGAGAAAGAGGGAGAAGUGGAUUUUAAUAUUUGGGAUCUCUGUAACUCUUUAACCACUCAAAUGAGGAGCCCUGGAGGGCAUCUGGAAGUUUUGGGGGUUUUAUUUCAACAGCAGAAUGUUAAAUUGAUGGUAAAAAUUAAACUGGGAAGACGGAUCUGAGAUGAAAUUCCAAAUCUCCUGGAACACACUGUGGAUUCUCCCACUCCUCCUCCCCACCAGUCCCAAAUUCCUACAAAAAUUGGUUUUUAAGAGAGCAGAUUUGGGGUGACCAGGGGGGAGCACUUGGCCGUUAUUAAUGAGGCAGUUCUUGCUGAUGAUGCUCGUUAAUCUCCCACCUUAACGAGCUUCAUUCCAGCGAGUGCUCACUGGAAUUCUGCUGGGCAGAGGAGCAGCAAAGUCACUCACCAGCCACUGGGGCAGCUGCAAGGCACCAGGGUCCCACAUCUCCCACGGAGAAUCCUUGCAGGCUCCCAGCUGGGAAUGCACUGGGGUGUACUGGGAUGUACUGGGAGUGCACUGGGAUGCACCAGCCCAGCCCCACAGCUCAGGCACUCAGGCACAGAUGUCCCAGCAGAGAGGGUCCUCAGGAUCCAGCCCUGGGCUCAGGGCAGUGAUGGGCUCCUCAAAUCUGGGAAGGGCUCAGAUCCAACCCUGUGUCACUCACCAGCCACUGGGGCAGCUGCAAGGCACCAGGGUCCCACAUCUCCCACGGAGAAUCCUUGCAGGCUCCCAGCUGGGAAUGCACUGGGGUGUACUGGGAUGUACUGGGAGUGCACUGGGAUGCACCAGCCCAGCCCCACAGCUCAGGCACUCAGGCACAGAUGUCCCAGCAGAGAGGGUCCUCAGGAUCCAGCCCUGGGCUCGUUCUCAGGGUGCUCCAAAUCCCAGAUCUGGGAAGGGUUCGGAUCCAACCUCACACUCAGGGCAGUGAUGGGUUUCUCAUUCCUGCUCCAAAUCCCAAAUACAAGAAAGGCUCAGAUCCAGUCCCACAUUCAGGGCUCCUCAUUCCUGCUCCAAAUCCCAAAUCCAGGAAGGGCUCAGAUCCAGCCCCACAUUCAGGAUUCCUCAUUUCUGCCCCAAAUUCCAAAUCCAGGACGGGCUUCGAUCUAGUCUCGUGCUCAGGGCAGUGAUGAGUUCCCCAUUUCUGCUCCAAAUCCUAAAUCCAGGAAGGGCUCAGAUCCAGCCUUGUAUUCAGGUUGCUCCAAAUCCUAAAUCCAGGAAGGUCUCAGAUCCAGCCCUGUGUUCAGGUUGCUCCAAAUCCCAAAUCUGGGAAGGGCUCAGAUCCAGCCCCUCACUCAGUAUUCCUCAUUCCUCAUUCCUGCCCCAAUCUGCUCCAAAUUGGGACCUGGAGACUUCCAGCACCGAGGAUUUCACUUGGCUCCAUCAAAAUUCCCAAAGAGCACAGGGAUGCCUCAAAUCCUGACCAUGAUCCAGGUAGGAAUGAACUCCACAUUCCAAGGAGAAUGCUUUUAAAGGAUUGAUCCAGUUUGCAAUGAAUUCCACAUUCCAAGGAGAAUGCUUUUAAAGGAUUGAUCCAGUUUGCAAUGAAUUCCCCAUUCCAAGGAGAAUGCUUUUAAAGGAUUGAUCCAGUUUGCAAUGAAUUC